Camelina sativa (false flax) is the source of this 706-nucleotide long non-coding RNA. RefSeq lists it as uncharacterized. NCBI's taxonomy places the organism in Eukaryota, Viridiplantae, Streptophyta, Magnoliopsida, Brassicales, Brassicaceae. The record is from RefSeq and is a predicted model, not a curated record.
AUAGAUGAAAAUAAAAACGUUAUCCUAGAGUAAUCGGGAAGAUGAAAAUUUCAUUGCCUCUAAAAUGUUUCUAAAUAGUUAAAAAAAAUAAUUAGAAAAAAAAAUAAAAGAUAGAUAAGAUCGAUUAGGUUAUUAAUUUAGUUUGGCCAUCUCUUUUCUCUUCUCCUCUCUUUCUUUCUUCUUCUUCUCCGACUUGAGUAUAUCGGCGAUGGAGACGAGAAGCCGGAGAUUAUUAUGGCCAAUCUUGAAAGAGAUCGAGUGCUUUUGACUCUCGUGGCUGAUUCCGACGACAAAGACGAUGGUUCUUCUUAAUUCGAAGCCACGAGUGCUUGUUGUUCAUUAGGGGUUGGGCGUCGAAGAAGUUCAUGACAGGCUGAUCACUGGCAGCUCCAUCUCGAUUCCUAAAUCAUCCGCCAUGACCUCACAAGCUUGUCUACUUCAGGAAACAGGUCAAAGGUUUGUUUCCAUAGAUGUAUUUAAGAUAUAGUGCUGAAUUCCUGACUCCCCAUGGGACAAUGUGUAGCCAGCUUGAUAUAGCCUGAUUUCAAGAGCUAUGAAGUCAAGCAUCGACAAGAAAGAAGAAUGAGUUCUCAUAUAUUAUGUACAGUGGAGAAAACACGUUUGAAUAGUCAAUUCUAUGAGUCUGAUAGUUAUAUAAAUCUCAAAGCUUCUUAAUGAAUGUAAAAUACUAAUUAGUCAAUUUCUU